AGAAGACAGAUCUCUGGCCGAGUUGGUCCUCUCGCUUCGCCUCUUCCUCUCGGAUUUCGCUUCCUUCCUUUCCACAAAGGUUACAAACCAGAACCCUGGCAUGGUUACAAACCAUCCCCACCCAAUGGAUGUGGGACGCCCCUCUUCGGAGUCCAGUUGACAUUGACAUCCCGUCCUUGACCAAGUUCUAUAACCAGCACGACCAUUGCUAUGACACCUAUAACCGUGAUAAACACGACUGUGACGAUGAGUUCCCGGAAUGCCUGGAGACCAUCUGUAGGAGAUUACAGAAGAUGUUGGGACUUGCCCAGAGUGUCCAAGGUAAGAUAGCACCUGGGUUAUGUUCAU
Long non-coding RNA from Coregonus clupeaformis (lake whitefish), 348 nucleotides. RefSeq lists it as uncharacterized. Lineage: Eukaryota; Metazoa; Chordata; Actinopteri; Salmoniformes; Salmonidae. The transcript has 3 exons. The record is from RefSeq and is a predicted model, not a curated record.